Molecule: ribosomal RNA, 490 nt
Filed under: uncultured bacterium
Lineage: Bacteria
Description: partial 16S ribosomal RNA
Rfam family: Bacterial small subunit ribosomal RNA
Source: RNAcentral
AGUGAACGCUGGCGGUAGGCCUAACACAUGCAAGUCGAACGGCAGCACAGGAGAGCUUGCUCUCUGGGUGGCGAGUGGCGGACGGGUGAGGAAUACAUCGGAAUCUGCCCAGUCGUGGGGGAUAACGUAGGGAAACUUACGCUAAUACCGCAUACGACCUUCGGGUGAAAGAGGGGGAUCGCAAGACCUCUCGCGAUUGGAUGAGCCGAUGUCGGAUUAGCUAGUUGGCGGGGUAAUGGCCCACCAAGGCGACGAUCCGUAGCUGGUCUGAGAGGAUGAUCAGCCACACUGGAACUGAGACACGGUCCAGACUCCUACGGGAGGCAGCAGAGGGGAAUAUUGGACAAUGGGCGCAAGCCUGAUCCAGCCAUACCGCGUGGGUGAAGAAGGCCUUCGGGUUGUAAAGCCCUUUUGUUGGGAAAGAAAUCUUUCAGGCUAAUACCCUGGGAGGAUGACGGUACCCAAAGAAUAAGCACCGGCUAACUUCGUG